AGUAAGUUAGUAUAGCCAAUACCUUUAACUUAGGCUUAAAAAACGGAGAAAUUCCACUUACCA
RNAcentral lists this transfer RNA (63 nucleotides) under Sinohyriopsis cumingii. Its description in RNAcentral is "Hyriopsis cumingii tRNA-Leu". The record is from RNAcentral. Lineage: Eukaryota; Metazoa; Mollusca; Bivalvia; Unionida; Unionidae.